AAGUCCAAUGGCUGGUUGAUGCAGUGGUAGGAUAAGUUAAGUAACUUCACUAUUAAAUGAUUUAGAGUGAGUUUAUCAUAUAACAGAUCAAAUGAUACGAUUUCAUCAAGUUAAUCAACGCAGAAUUCGGCGCCGACAGACCACACAUGUAAUGUCUAAGGAUGGCAAUGAGAAAUUCUCUGAAGAAAUGUUUCUGCAGGAUGUUUGUAUUCAGUAAAACUACAUGGGAUGCGACAAUCCAGCCAGCUGUCAUAUGCCAAGAGUUCUAUAUUUCCAUGAAAAUAUAAAAUAGAGGUUAGGCACCAAUAGGUAUACGAGUGAAGAAAGAAUCUCGAUUGUCACCACCAGAGAACCGUUGCUAAAUGUGUGUGUGUGUGUGUGUGUGGGGGGGGGGGGGGGUGAUGCAGUGACACCCGGGACAGAGAGGUGCAGCGACCUUGGUGUGCGCACAUGUUAAGACUCCUGUGUGUUGUGGUUGUACAGAGACAGUUCCACCUCUAAAAACUAAAAUGUGACAAAAAAUGACCAAAGCAGCAGUUCCGAGUGGGGUGGCUAAUGGGGUGGCCAGGCUUCGGUCCAUGGUGGCCACCGCCACCCCUGGCCACCCCUUAGCUCCUCCACUGGCUUGGACGGAAAAAUGUUUGAUUGUUUUCAAGUGUUAUUCUUUCCAAAAAACUCUCAUUUUCACAAGUAUGUGUAACAAUAUUAAUCACGCUUGCUGACUAUCUAUAGAAGAUUAAAAAUCAUGCCUUUAUUAUUUCAUUAUUAUUAUUUCAGUUAGUCAUUUCCCUAAAAUGUAUUUUUACUUCAAUGCUGUAAUAUUGCUUUGUUGCAAAUUAGCAAGCAAAGGUUCAAUCUAAAUAAGCCAUACUGUACUUGCUUAUAUGAAUUGUAAUGGUACUGUAUAGUCAAGCCUGAAGGUGCUCCACUUUGUGUUGUGACUAACAAUGCCCUGUGAAUAUAUUCAUAAUAUAGCACAGCCUCUCUUUCCUUAAGAUUAGCACAAUUACAUGUAGACCUACCUUACAUUAAAAAAAAACAGCUUCCCUCAGCUCUUGCUUUCACUCAAAAAAAAUGUCUUUUUUGCUAAUAUAGAUUGGUUAUCAUAUUUACAAAAAACGGUCCAGAAAUGUGGAACCAUUAGCCAAAAACUUUUAAGAAAUCAAAUUUAAGUGUGCCAAAUUCUGUUGGAUACCUCUAAUUGUUUACCAAGAAGUUUAUUAUGGAAUUGGGUUUUGUUAUUUAUUACUGUUUGCUUAAUUAUGCAGGUAUGUCUUUAAAGCUUUGGCUUUCUGUACUGUAUGUUUAUCUCUCUUGUGGAUCUCUCUAAAUACUGAAAAUUUCAGUUUCAUUUUAGGAUGCAUUGAAGAAACAUUCCUGUGGGGUUGGAGUUGGGGAUGUUGUUCCAUGAGCCAUAAGAUUUAAACCUCUGUUGGACACAAGCACAACUAGUUUGCUUUUUGAAGAGGAGCUGGAAGACUACACAAAGACAGCAUCUCCAAAAUGUACUGUGAGAAAUGUGGGAAAAAAUUAAGUUCGCAGGCUAACUAUUGCAGAAAAUGUAGGUACCCAUGUCGUUCUGAGGAGGAGGAUGAACCUUACAAUGAGAUGUCUUUAAGGAACUAUGGGAUGGUUCCAUCAUACAGUAACAACACCAUCCAGAUGCCCAUGGCCAACCGAGGAAAUGUUACAAUGGUUCACCAUUACAGCAAUACAGAACAAGGUGUUGAAAUACGUCAAACUAUAGUUAUGAAGGAUGGUAGACUUGUUUCCGCUAAAGAAAUCAAAUCGUUAACUUUUUAAAAGUUGGAAGGAGGAAGUCUCCUUUAUAUAAAUUAGCAAAAACGUUCUGAAUAACAUCUGUGGGUCUUCCAGGGACACAUCUGCUGUCUAUCAUCUCUUUAGAAGUGUAGAAUAAAGUCAUAUGGAAUUAUUGUUUUGUUUCCAUGCUUAUCUAAACUUAAAGGUGUAAUGUUCUGUUUUCUUUGCUAUACUUAAAUGUAUCAGUAGUUUUUUUCCAAACUCAAAGUCUAUGUCAACUCAGAUAGUGUGAUUAUUUUCAUUUUAUGUACUUGAGAGGGUUGAUGUAAAGAAAAUAAAUUGUUUGCAUUCUUAAUGAUUUUGUUCCUUUUGUCAAAAAAACAAGGUGAAAUAAUGUGUUAACUGUGUUGCUUUAUAGAGUUCAACUCUUAUAAAUGUCAUACUUUGAAACUUCAUUCAUGGAGCCUGAAACUGGAACAAAAUGUAUAUUUUUUUAUCUAUAAUAAAUACGUUUUGAAA
This is a long non-coding RNA of Myxocyprinus asiaticus (Chinese sucker), 2280 nucleotides long. RefSeq lists it as uncharacterized. The transcript is spliced from 4 exons. The record is from RefSeq and is a predicted model, not a curated record. Lineage: Eukaryota; Metazoa; Chordata; Actinopteri; Cypriniformes; Catostomidae.